UGGGGAAUUUUGGACAAUGGGCGAAAGCCUGAUCCAGCAAUGCCGCGUGUGUGAAGAAGGCCUUCGGGUUGUAAAGCACUUUUGUCCGGAAAGAAAUCCUUGGCUCUAAUACAGUCGGGGGAUGACGGUACCGGAAGAAUAAGCACCGGCUAACUACGUGCCAGCAGCCGCGGUAAUACGUAGGGUGCAAGCGUUAAUCGGAAUUACUGGGCGUAAAGCGUGCGCGGGCGGUUUGCUAAGACCGAUGUGAAAUCCCCGGGCUCAACCUGGGAACUGCAUUGGUGACUGGCAGGCUAGAGUAUGGCAGAGGGGGGUAGAAUUCCACGUGUAGCAGUGAAAUGCGUAGAGAUGUGGAGGAAUACCGAUGGCGAAGGCAGCCCCCUGGGCCAAUACUGACGCUCAUGCACGAAAGCGUGGGGAGCAAACAGGAUUAGAUACCCUGGUAGUCCACGCCCUAAACGAUGUCAACUAGUUGUUGGGGAUUCAUUUCCUUAGUAACGUAGCUAACGCGUGAAGUUGACCGCCUGGGGAGUACGGUCGCAAGAUU
Molecule: ribosomal RNA, 547 nt
Filed under: uncultured bacterium
Lineage: Bacteria
Description: partial 16S ribosomal RNA
Rfam family: Bacterial small subunit ribosomal RNA
Source: RNAcentral